CCCGAACGCCCCGCCGGCGGAUGCCUCGGCCCGGGCGGCGACGAAGAGCGCGGCGGAGCGCGAGACGCGGUGCGGACCCGCCCGCCCCGAGAAGCACCGACCCUCGAACGCAGCGCGCCCCGGCGCCGCCGCCUCGGCGCCCGCC
Molecule: ribosomal RNA, 145 nt
Filed under: Giardia duodenalis
Lineage: Eukaryota; Fornicata; Diplomonadida; Hexamitidae
Description: Giardia intestinalis 5.8S ribosomal RNA
Source: RNAcentral